AUGUUGCUGAAACUCAUCCUUGAGUGGGGAAAAUAUUAUCUUCAGAUGAGAAGCCCUGGCCUGAAGGUCAAAGGCCAAAUCGUUUACCUGACUUCCCUGAGUUGCCACAAGCUAAACCAAGGCUCUCCACCUACUUCAUCUCCCUCCUUCUCCUCCGCUCACCUCCAACACAAAGCCAGGUCCUUUCGUGCCUUAGCUCUUCCUCCAGCACGCGUGCAUGGCCGUCCGCCAGCUUCUGCAAGGAGUCCUUUCAGGAAAAUGCCAGACACAGGACCAACUUCAACUACAGAGGUCCUUCAUUAUCCACAAGGCAUUGGUUCCAGGACCCCCAGAGAUACCAACAGCAAUCCCAGGAGGCUCACAUCCCUUUACGUAACAUGCGGGAGUAUGGCCAGCCCUCUGGUUUCCACAUCUACUUGGAUUCAGAGACUGACUAUGCUUCAAAAAGGCCAUGGGACCGCUUUUAUUUAAUUUUAAUUUAAUUUAAUUUUAUUUUAUUUUGUCUUUUUGCCAUUUCUAGGGCCGCUCCCACGGCAUAUGGAGGUUCCCAGGCUAGGGAUCCAAUUGGAGCUGUAGCCUCUGGCCUACACCAGAGCCCCAGCAACGCAGGAUCCGAGCCACAUCUGCAACCCACAUCACAGCUCACAGCAACGCCGUGACUAGGAACCAUGAGGACACAGGUUCGAUUCCUGACCUCGCUCAGUGGGUUAAGAAUCUGGCAUUGCUAUGAGCUGUGGUGUAGGCCGGCAGCUACAGCUCUGAUUUGACUCCUAGUCUGGGAACCUCCAUAUGCCGAGGGUGCAGCCCUAAAAAGACCACCACCACCACAACAAAUCCAAAAUGAGAAGAAAAGAAAUAAAAAUUAGAGCAGAAAUCAAAGACACUAAAAACAGGAAAUCAAUAGGAAAAAAUCAAGUAAACUAAAAUCUGUUCCUUUGAAACAAUCAAGAAAAUUUAUAAGCCUCUAGCAAGGUUAAGAAAAAACUCUAGAGGGCCAAAGGCUUCAACUUUCACCACUCUGGAAACUUGGGUUCUAGAUUCCAGAGUCAGAAAGCCAGAGAAAUCUAGAAUAGGGCCAUGGGAUUUUAAAGCUAACAGAGGCCUUCUAGGGGCUCUGAUCCAAGUUCCCACUACAUGCAGGAAUUCUCUCUGCAGAUCACCAUCUAGCAUCUGCUUGAAUACUCUUAGGAGCAGUGAGCUCACUACCGAAAGCUUUAAAGAUGCAUCUUUACAUCAAACCAAAACGUGCCUUCUUGCAUGCUCGCUCCCUUGUCCUGGCUCUGCUGGCUCCUUGGGGACAGAGACGACCAGCUGAGUCUCUAACAGGAAGCUUCAGUCUCACUUAAGAAUCUUCUUGCUCAGACUACACACCCCCAGGGCUUUAACUGAGCACCCUCCGCUGGCCAGCUAAG
RNAcentral lists this long non-coding RNA (1412 nucleotides) under Sus scrofa (pig). Its description in RNAcentral is "lncRNA (ENSSSCG00040055184.1)". Lineage: Eukaryota; Metazoa; Chordata; Mammalia; Artiodactyla; Suidae. The record is from RNAcentral.